CAAUUAAUCUGAAACAAAAGGUAUUUGUAUUUGUUUACAGUUACAGUUUAUAUAAUCACAAUAUUAUUGCUUGAAUCAGUAGGUGUUUCUAUUGCUUAAUGACAGUUAGAUUUUAUGAAAUCAUGUUAUUAUUGUUUGGUAUGAAUCAAACUGGUUGACAAUCGACAUGCUUAGAAUGUGAAACAUAAGGUGUUUGUGUAGCUUAACGUAUUCGAUGAAAGUAGGAUUGUAUGGAAUCACAUUAUUAUUGCUUGAAAAUCGUAUUUAAUUGCUUAAUCCGUGUUUGCACAUGAACUGUUUGAUCAAAUGCCAGAGAGAAAUUACAUGUCACUAGUGUCGCUUAUGUAUUCAAGCAGCAUAUGAUUCAUUUAUACUUUUGCUACAUGUGUCGGCAACUCGAAUGUUACACAAAAAACAACUAUAACUAUAAAUCAUGAAACACCAGAAGGGUUCUUGUAUUGUGAACCUCGUGUUGAUUUAACACAUAAAACAUUUGAGGUAGUUCAGAAGGAGAUAGAGGCCGCUCUUUAUUCAUGUUCAUUGGCAGAGAUGACUAUAGAGGAGUCUGUGCAAGUUUCCAUCAUAAAAGAGAAUCGGCAAAAUUCAAUGAUUGUGAAAUACAAGGUUGUGAUUCAUGCUAAAGAUUGUAUUUUUAUAUUUCAAACUCAGCAUUUACAGAGCUAAUAACUACAUGGAUAAGAACUUUAAAGAUGGCAAAAUGGGAGGGCAAUUAACAGAUUCGAUUCAACCGAGCAUGUGGGCUAAGAAAGAUGGGAGGGCAGUCAGUCUCAUGAACGCUUAGUGGACACAAGGGUUACGUAUCGUCUUGUCAGUAGGUUCCCAAUGAAGAUACUCAUUUGAUAACAAGCUCUGGCAAUCAGACUUGUGUCUUGUGGGAUAUAACUACGGGGCUCAGAACUUUAGUGUUUGGAGGAGAGUUUCAAUCUGGACACACUGCUGAUGUUUUCAGUGUUUCAAUCUGUGCUCCAAACUCAUGAAUGUUUGUAGUUGGGUCUUGUGAUGCAAUUGCACGUCUUUGGGACACUCAUGUUGCAAGUAGAGCUGUAAGGACAUUCCAUGGUCACGAGGAGGAUGUUAAUUCUGUAAAGUUCUUCCCAGAUGGAAAUAGAUUUGGAACGGGAUCAGAUGAUGGAACUUGCAAACUAUAUGAUAUUCGAACUGGACAACAACUACAAGUUUACCUCCAACAACAGCAGCAGGGUGGUGCUAAUGUCCCACCAGUUCAAGGCUGUGCAAAUGAUAGGCAGGUCAUGGACGGCAAAGAGUUUGGAAUAAAAGAAAGAAGAACUGUAGCAAGUGUGGAGGUACAAAACACAAUGCAAGGACGUGUGGUAGAGAACGAGUAACAAAGAAACAAAAUACAUUAUUUGAGGUUGCUGUGAGCAAUCUAUGAUGGAUUUUUAUUUUCAUAUUGCUUUAAUUGUUUAAUUAUUAUCUGUUCGGGUAGUAGUCAUUGAACAGAUUGUAUUUGAUAUUUUGAAUUUUUCUGAUCAUUUGUUUAAAA
This is an RNA transcript of Erigeron canadensis, 1525 nucleotides long. It is a transcript of the gene named guanine nucleotide-binding protein subunit beta-like, with no coding region annotated. Lineage: Eukaryota; Viridiplantae; Streptophyta; Magnoliopsida; Asterales; Asteraceae. The transcript is spliced from 4 exons. The record is from RefSeq and is a predicted model, not a curated record.